AUUGAACGCUGGCGGCAUGCCUUACACAUGCAAGUCGAACGGCAGCACGGGUGCUUGCACCUGGUGGCGAGUGGCGAACGGGUGAGUAAUACAUCGGAACGUACCUUAUCGUGGGGGAUAACGCAGCGAAAGUUGCACUAAUACCGCAUACGCCCUGAGGGGGAAAGCGGGGGACCGUAAGGCCUCGCGCGAUUAGAGCGGCCGAUGUCUGAUUAGCUUGUUGGGGAGGUAAAAGCUCACCAAGGAGAUGAUCAGUAGCUGGUCUGAGAGGACGAGCAGCCACACUGGGACUGAGACACGGCCCAGACUCCUACGGGAGGCAGCAGUGGGGAAUGUUGGACAAUGGGGGCAACCCUGAUCCAGCAAUGCCGCGUGAGUGAAGAAGGCCUUCGGGUUGUAAAGCUCUUUUGUCAGGGAAGAAACAGCAGCUCUAACACAGUCUGCGAAUGACGGUACCUGAAGAAUAAGCACCGGCUAACUACGUGCCAGCAGCCGCAGUAA
RNAcentral lists this ribosomal RNA (501 nucleotides) under uncultured bacterium. RNAcentral describes it as "partial 16S ribosomal RNA". It matches the Rfam family "Bacterial small subunit ribosomal RNA", at positions 29 to 523 of the family's 1533-position model. The record is from RNAcentral.